This 346-nucleotide ribosomal RNA is filed under the name uncultured bacterium. Its description in RNAcentral is "partial 16S ribosomal RNA". It matches the Rfam family "Bacterial small subunit ribosomal RNA", at positions 338 to 681 of the family's 1533-position model. The record is from RNAcentral.
CCUACGGGAGGCAGCAGUGAGGAAUAUUGGUCAAUGGCCGGAAGGCUGAACCAGCCAUGCCGCGUGAAGGGCAGGGGCCUAGGGGCGGUAAACUGCUUUUGUGCGGGAGCAAGAAUGGGCACGUGUGGCAAGACGAGAGUACCGUAGGAAUAAGCAGCGGCGAACUCCGGGCCAGCAGCCGCGGUAAUACGGGGGAUGCAAGCGUUAUCCGGAUUUCUUGGGUUGAAAGGGUGCGUAGGCUGGGAGGUAAGUCAGCGGUGAAAUGCCCCCGCUCAACGGGGGGAAGUGCCAUUGAUACUGCCUUGCUGGACUGCGGAUGCCGUGGGAGGAAUGUGUGGUGUAGCGG